This 4654-nucleotide long non-coding RNA is filed under the name Oryza sativa Japonica Group (Japanese rice). RNAcentral describes it as "uncharacterized LOC124849264, transcript variant 1 (LOC124849264)". Lineage: Eukaryota; Viridiplantae; Streptophyta; Magnoliopsida; Poales; Poaceae. The record is from RNAcentral.
UGAGAGUGUUUCAACUGCCACUGCGCCACGUCAGUUUAGGCAGUUUCCUACGUUGAACUGAUGAAACCCCGCGCGGCGGAGGGCUCGCGGAGACCAUGCUCGCCGCCGCCGCCGCCGCCGCCGCCGCCGUCAAGGGGAGGAUCAAAUCGCGGCCACGGCUACCUCCUCUCGCCUCGCCGGCGACGACUUCCACAUGCGCUCCCGCUCCCGCCGCCACCGCUCGCCGCGGCUCUCAUGCGGCCGCGUCUCAAGUCGUCUCCCACGCGUCGCUCCUCCUCCGGCUGCAGUCGUGCCCGGAUUUCCAGGAGGCACGGAGGCUUCACGCGGCGGUCCUCGUCGGCGGCCACGGCCACGGCACCGUCCUCGUCGCACAGUUGGUGCGCGCGUACGCGAAGCUCGGGGAUGUCGCGCACGCGCUGCGGGUGUUCGACGGAAUGCCGAGGAGGAACUCCUUCGCGUGGAACGCCGUGAUCAAGGGCCUUGUCGACGCUGGUAGAUUCUCGGAGGCGCUGGAGAUGUUUUGGGGGAUGGUGAACGAUGGCUCGGUAGCGGUGGAUGGUUUCACGUAUCCGCCUGUCAUCAAGGCGUGUGCUGCGCUUGGAGCUGUUGCGCAGGGGAGGAAGGUAUGGGAGAUGGUGGAGACUGACAUUGCCAGCGGUAAUGCGAGGCCCAACGUGUUUGUGCAGUGCGCGCUUGUGGAUAUGUUUGCAAAGUGUGGGUGCUUGGAUGAAGCAAGGAAUGUUUUUGAGAGCAUGCAAGUGAGGGAUUUGGCUGCGUGGACUGCGAUGAUUGGAGGAACUGUGCAUUCAGGGAACUGGCUUGAGGUGGUGGAUUUGUUCAAUCACAUGAGAUCAGAAGGGUUUGGGGUUGACUCUCUAAUUGCUGCAACUGUCAUUUCAGCGUGUGGGAGAGCAGGUGAAUUGCAGGUUGGAACUGCAUUGCAUGGAUGUGCUGUGAAAAGUGGAGCAAGUGGUGAUAUAUAUGUUUCCAACGCCUUGGUAGAUAUGUACUGCAAAUGCGGUUGCGUAGAGAUGGCUGAUUGUCUUUUCUGGUCUACAAAUUCCAAAGAUGUUGUCUCCUGGAGUAGCUUGAUUGUGGGGUAUUCACAAAAUGGAAUGCAUAAUGUGAGUGUCAGUUUGUUCUGUGAAAUGAUCUCUUUGGGGAUAAACCCCAACUCUAGUACUCUGGCAAGCAUACUUCCUUGUCUUUCUGUGCUGAAGUUAAUCAGGAGUGGAAAAGAAAUUCAUUGCUUCUCUAUAAGACAUGGACUUGAGAGAAGUGAGUUUGUAGUGAGCGCACUUAUAGACUUGUACAGCAAACAGGGGUUGAUAAGGGUGGCAGAAACUAUAUUUUGGCUUACGCUGGACAAAGAUCUAGCCAUUUGGAACUCAAUGGUUGCAGGAUAUGCUGUGAAUGGAUAUUCAGACUCUGCAUUCUGCGCAUUGAGGUUAUUACAGAAAGUGGGUUUAAAACCUGAUCAUGUGACUGUUGUUUCAGUUCUUCCUUUAUGCAAUCAACACCAUAUGCUCAUCCAGGGUAAGGAACUACAUGCAUAUGUGAUCAAGUAUUGUAUUAACUCAGUCUGCUCAGUCAAUAAUGCACUUCUAGAUAUGUAUUGCAAGUGUGGUUUCCUAGAAGUAGCUAAAGAGGUUUUUCAACUGAUGACAGAACGCAAUACAGUUACAUAUAACAUACUGAUUUCUUCUUUUGGAAAGCAUAACCAUGAAGAUCAAGCCCUAUCAUUUUUCGAUCUAAUGAAGAGAGAUGGAAUUGCUCCAGAUAAAGUGACUUUUGUGGCACUACUAUCUUGUUGUAGCCAUGCUGGUCUCAUUGACAAGGGUUUGCACUUAUAUCAUUCCAUGUUACAUGACUACAAUAUUUCUCCAGAGAAGGAACACUACUCAUGCAUUGUUGAUCUCUACAGCAGAUGUGGGAAGCUUGAUGAGGCUUGGUGUUUCAUGUCAAAUAUGGCAGAAGAGCCAGAAAUCGAUGUCCUUGGAGGGCUCUUGGCAGCAUGUAGAGUGCAUAAUAGAAUGGACAUUGCUGAGCUGGUUGGGAAAAGAAUAUUUGAGCAAAAUCCCAAUGAUCCUGGCUAUCAUAUUCUGCUUUCUAAUAUCUACGCCGAUGCUGGAAUGUGGUCUGAUGUGACAAGGAUAAGAACUAUGAUACAAGAGAGAAAUUUGAAGAAGGAAACAGGAAAUAGCUUGACCUAAAAGUUAAACAAUGAGUGCACAAGUCUGUAUAAAAAGACAAGAACCUUUUGUUAUUUGUUAGAUCAUCAAACUAAAAAUGCGAUUGAAAAGUGCAGCUUGAUAAUUGGUAACAGACCUAGGAGAAUGGGAACUGUUAAGAAUCAGAGAAAAGCAAACCGUUUUCAACAUGCUUUUAGGACAUUUUCUCUAGAGGAAAUGAAGACUUUUUUGGGUAUAGGAGAUACUGGUAUUUGUUCACUAGCCAAGGACAUACUUUAUCAAGAAUACACUCCAAGGGAUGAUUAAUUAUUUAAUCAAGGGAAAAGGAUACUGCAGCGUCAAGCCUGGAGGUAUAGAUUCACUUUCAAGCUUGAAGAAAGCAAAGGAAGAAGGGCAUCCUUAUCUAAUGCGGGUCACAUCUGUUCGACAGCUCUGAAGAUCCGGUGUCAUUUGGACCACCUGCCCUGCUGCAGUGGUAACUUUCUUCAUCCACACACUUUGAAAUUCUUUAGCAAUUACUAGCUUCUAAACCAUAUUAAUUCCAAUAGAUCCGCAGACCAAUAAUUAGCUCCACUUAAGUUCACAUGUUGCUACAGCUUCAUGUAGCCGUUACUCGGGCGGUCGGCCGUUGGCCAGCUGCAGCCUGCAGAUACCGGAGCAUACAAUGUACCCUGCACAUGUGGAGCCUUGCUCUAUACAUCUCACAAUCCAAAAUUUUGACAACAAUUCCUAGUUAAUACUUUGACUCCACCUGUUACUAGCUGCCUGACGCAGAAAAUUGGCAAAUGCCUGUACCACUGUGCAAGGCUUUGGAGUUCGGAGCUUAAAUGGCACACCUCUCCAUGUGGGCAGAUAAGGUCGUCCUGAGAAUGAGCUACCGACCCACGCCCUCUCUUCAUGCUGCAGCCACCGACACUGUUUGAAUUUCUGCACUAAUGAAUUGCUUUGCUACUAGUACCACCCACCAGGGAUUAUUAGUUGCUGUAAGAGACAGUUUUGGAGGUUUGCUUGAUCUCAUGAUUCAUCAGCUCGAUCGUUUUGUAGGCUACUGCACAGCACAGUGUUGUCCGAGAGCUCAGUUUCAGCAAGGAGGGGGGGGGGGGGGGGUUCUGUCCAAUCAUGGGCAUGCCGAUGAUGGGCAAUUUCAUUGUAAAGGGUACCGACACAUAUGCAGGGUUUGAAGGAUCGCCUAGCUGGCUUAUCCUGCUACUAAUAAGUUGACUUCCCCAGGGCAUCCAGUAUUUGGUGGAUCUGCUUCCACGUAGCACUGAACUGGGUCAGUACUUUACUAAUCAGCUAUCAGGGCCGUAGUUUAUGGGAAAUGCAGUUAUAUUUUCCAAGGCAAACACAACUCUACUAUAUCCCCAAAUGCACUGUUUUCCAAGACAAGCAUAUCAAUUCUGUUACAAGCACAAGUAUACAUCCCAAAAUGGUGAGGUUUUCAUCAGAAAGGGAAUUGCAUGUGAAUGCAGCUAACGGAUCGGGGUAUAAUUCAAGCUGGAUUAUUCGAUCCUAACCUUCAUCUUCAAGCAAUCAAAUUAACAGCCCUGUUUAACAAAAGUUUGAGAGAUUUUGAAUGAGGAUCCGUGCAUGCAGCAGGAAAGUCGGCACGGAAGCUGGAGAUGAAAAGCUGAAACAUGAUUUCUUUUCAAAGAAAAAUGAAAAAAAAAAAACAGCAGCACUGCGCUGGCAGCCGGAGCCAAUGGGCGAGGGGCACGUGUCCCCGGAUUCCUCGACCGACCAGGGAGACUCCGCACGAGCAGGGCACGUGACGGACGAUCCGCUCGUCUUUAUAUACGGCUAAUGCGUCGCUGGUGAGUUUACCUGCAUCGCAUCAGCUCUCUUGACUCCUCUCUCUUCGUCUCAGCUUGGAGCUCAGUCUUUGAUUUUUCUUCUUCUUCUUGUUUGUGCAAUUGUGCAUCGUUGUUAGCUGGGAACAAGCAGAAGAAUGGCGGACAGCACGGCGACCUGCAUCGACAUCAUCCUCGCCAUCAUCCUGCCGCCGCUCGGCGUCUUCUUCAAGUUCGGCUGCGGGAUUGAGUUCUGGAUCUGCUUGCUGCUCACCUUCUUCGGCUACCUCCCCGGCAUCAUCUACGCUGUCUGGGUCAUCACCAAGUAGGAGGAGAAUUACUACCCUUCCAAGGUGAUGGUGAAUUGGUGAUCCGGAGCCUGUGAUUGGUUGUGCCUGGUGUAAGCGGCAGUUGUCAAAGCUGUGAUUUUCUGGUUCUUUGGACGGAUGGUGCUCGCUGUGGUGUUGUGUAUGCUGUACAUCUGUUUUGGUGUUUGUGCUUAGGUCCCUCUUCUGUUACAACAAUUGUUUUCUCCCUGUUCUUCCGGGGUACCUUCUCCAGUUUAUCUUCUGCACCUUCUCGUCCCUGUACUUUGAAUAUUAAUUAAUUAAUUAAUUAAUUGCUCCUUGUUAGCCAUCUGCUCAAAGAGUAAUUUAAGAAUCGUUUGACAAA